This 428-nucleotide ribosomal RNA is filed under the name uncultured Coriobacteriaceae bacterium. Its description in RNAcentral is "bacterial SSU rRNA". It matches the Rfam family "Bacterial small subunit ribosomal RNA", at positions 355 to 794 of the family's 1533-position model. Lineage: Bacteria; Bacillati; Actinomycetota; Coriobacteriia; Coriobacteriales; Coriobacteriaceae. The record is from RNAcentral.
UGGGGAAUCUUGCACAAUGGGCGAAAGCCUGAUGCAGCGACGCCGCGUGCGGGACGAAGGCCUUCGGGUUGUAAACCGCUUUCAGCAGGGACGAGGCCGCAAGGUGACGGUACCUGCAGAAGAAGCCCCGGCUAACUACGUGCCAGCAGCCGCGGUAAUACGUAGGGGGCGAGCGUUAUCCGGAUUCAUUGGGCGUAAAGCGCGCGUAGGCGGCCUGCUAGGUCGGGACUCAAAUCCGGGGGCUCAACCCCCGCCCGGUCCCGAUACCGACAGGCUUGAGUCUGGUAGGGGAAGGCGGAAUUCCAAGUGUAGCGGUGGAAUGCGCAGAUAUUUGGAAGAACACCGGUGGCGAAGGCGGCCUUCUGGGCCACGACUGACGCUGAGGCGCGAAAGCUAGGGGAGCGAACAGGAUUAGAUACCCUGGUAGU